RNAcentral lists this long non-coding RNA (443 nucleotides) under Vombatus ursinus (common wombat). RNAcentral describes it as "lncRNA (ENSVURG00010006344.1)". Lineage: Eukaryota; Metazoa; Chordata; Mammalia; Diprotodontia; Vombatidae. The record is from RNAcentral.
AUGCCAUCCAGUUGGUGAAGCAUACACACAGCUAACUCCAUGGAGAAGGGCUGUCUUCGCUAGUGAAUGGGUACUUUGACUUUUUAAUUUGGCUUCCUUGCAGGAAGGUCACAAUGGAAUCCCAAGUUCAUCCACAAAGGGACCUCCUAAAAGGCCCCAUUUAAACCAAGCUGGGGAACCAGUUUCUCCACUUCAAGGACUCCCUCCUUCUGAAGGGAUCAGCCUGGGCUCCACAGUAUGUCCUGAAACAUCGGUCCCAUUAGCUCAGGGAGAGAUGUCCAGCAACCCAGACACAUCCGUCAACGUCAAUGUGCACUGUACUUUUACCAUGACCCUGGAAGUGAAAAGGGGAGCAUCUAUGCCUGUCCUCAGAGCCCUGCUGAGAGACAAGCUCCUGCAGCAAUUAGAAGGUGCACAGCUCAGGUAUGAUUUUGUGCUGACCC